CGCAGCAAUGUGUGGAGCUGACAAGUACUAAUAGGUCGAGGGCUUAACCAA
RNAcentral lists this ribosomal RNA (51 nucleotides) under Paenibacillus albiflavus. Its description in RNAcentral is "Paenibacillus sp. 18JY21-1 partial 23S ribosomal RNA". The record is from RNAcentral. Lineage: Bacteria; Bacillati; Bacillota; Bacilli; Caryophanales; Paenibacillaceae.